This 324-nucleotide ribosomal RNA is filed under the name uncultured bacterium. Its description in RNAcentral is "bacterial SSU rRNA". It matches the Rfam family "Bacterial small subunit ribosomal RNA", at positions 471 to 793 of the family's 1533-position model. The record is from RNAcentral.
GACGUUACUACAGAAGAAGCACCGGCUAACUCCGUGCCAGCAGCCGCGGUAAUACGGAGGUGCGAGCGUUAAUCGGAAUUACUGGGCGUAAAGCGCAUGCAGGCGGCCUGUUAAGUCAGAUGUGAAAGCCCCGGGGCUUAACCUCGGAAUUGCAUUUGAAACUGGCAGGCUAGAGUCUUGUAGAGGGGGUAGAAUUUCAGGUGUAGCGGUGAAAUGCGUAGAGAUCUGAAGGAAUACCAGUGGCGAAGGCGGCCCCCUGGACAAAGACUGACGCUCAGACUGCGAAAGCGUGGGGAGCCAAACAGGAUUAGAUACCCCUGGGAG